UGGUAAUGUCAACCCACUGGUUGGAAUGGGAAGCUGCUGUGUUGUGAGCCAUCUUAUGGAAAACCCAUGUGGCAGAGAACCGAGGAUGGUGGCUGGCCAACAGCGAGCCAGGAGCUGAGGCCCACAGUCCAACAACUGAGACUGGGUCCCACUAUAUUGCCUGGGCUGGCCUCGGACUCUUGACCCCAAGUGAUCCUCUGGCCUCAGCCUCCCAAGCAGCUGGACUUAUAGGCAGGCACCACCACACCGAGCUAAAAACUCCUGGCUUCCCUGGGCCUGCUGCACCGGCUCUGGCUAGGUUGGAGAGGGCUGCAGGCAGGACUGUAGUCAGCAGAGGGCACCAAAGCCUCUCAACACACCCAUGGCCCAGGCCUGGCCCAGAAGGAGAGCGCUGAGAGCCAGGACAGGCGGGCUACGUGCCCUGUGGAUUCCCCCAUUUCCCAUGCUUCAUCCGGCCAUGGGCCUGCAGUGCACUCACAAAUGUGCAUAUAACCUCCUGUGUGUGUGUUACGCUCAUGAAAUUGUCUCUGAAUUUGCUUGACUUCAUGUGUUCCUGUGUGUGUGUAUGUGUGUGUGUGUGUGGUGUGUCUGGUGUAUCUGGUUCCCCACGAUGCACAUUUGACAGCCCCACAGUCAGGGUCAGGGCACAGGAACAGAUACUGUGUCUAUAACAAUCUAUAACACUGAUUUUGUUCAUCUCAAUAAAUGUGAAAAUGAAAUAAAAAUUAAUGUAGAAU
This 737-nucleotide non-coding RNA is filed under the name Pongo abelii (Sumatran orangutan). Lineage: Eukaryota; Metazoa; Chordata; Mammalia; Primates; Hominidae. The record is from RNAcentral.